UACGAAGGGGGCUAGCGUUGCUCGGAAUCACUGGGCGUAAAGCGCACGUAGGCGGGUCUUUAAGUCAGGGGUGAAAUCCUGGAGCUCAACUCCAGAACUGCCUUUGAUACUGAGGAUCUCGAGUCCGGGAGAGGUGAGUGGAACUCCGAGUGUAGAGGUGAAAUUCGUAGAUAUUCGGAAGAACACCAGUGGCGAAGGCGGCUCACUGGCCCGGUACUGACGCUGAGGUGCGAAAGCGUGGGGAGCGAUCCGG
RNAcentral lists this ribosomal RNA (253 nucleotides) under uncultured bacterium. RNAcentral describes it as "partial 16S ribosomal RNA". It matches the Rfam family "Bacterial small subunit ribosomal RNA", at positions 524 to 776 of the family's 1533-position model. The record is from RNAcentral.